RNAcentral lists this long non-coding RNA (593 nucleotides) under Homo sapiens (human). Its description in RNAcentral is "non-protein coding lnc-CTAGE5-8:8". The record is from RNAcentral. Lineage: Eukaryota; Metazoa; Chordata; Mammalia; Primates; Hominidae.
CUGCGCCCAGUCACAUCUAUUGCAUUUCUCUGGAAUGACCACAGCAAUAUUUCCAGCCCUUGAUGAUCUUCUAGAACUUUGCCACUUCCCUGCAUCAAGAGGGUUUGUCUUGGUCCAUUUUAUGCUGCUAUAACAGAACACCACAGACUGAGAAAUUUAUAAGGAAUAGAAGUUUAUUUGCCUCAUGUUUCUGGAGGCUGGGAAUUCCAAGAUCAAGGGGCUGCAUAGAUUGAGGUCCUUUUUGCUGACUCAUAACGUGGAAAGAGAGUGCACUGCAUAGAAGAAAGGAGGCCAAACUCAUUCUUUUAUCAUGAGCCUACUCCUGAAAUAACUCACUCUCAAGAUAAUGGCAUUAAUCCAUUCAUGAAGGCAGAAUACUCAUGAUGUAAUCACCUCUUAAAAGGUCCUAUUUCCUAACACUGUUGCAUUAGGGAUUAAGCUGUCAACACAUGAAUAUUGGGGGACACAUUCAAACCAUAGCAAGAGUUCUUUGUCUUUGUGACUCGGUGUGGUUCAGCAAAUUGCGAUUGGUCUGCUAUAGCGGACUUUCCCCUCACCUCCCAAAUGUUUAUUAUGAAAAAUUUCAUUUUAAA